UCCGUCUCAAAAAUAAAAUAAAAUAAAAUUGGAAUGAUACAGAGAAGAUUAGCAUGGCUCCUUUAAAGUAAAGACGUGGUCCCUGUCCUC
This is a small nuclear RNA of Homo sapiens (human), 90 nucleotides long. NCBI's taxonomy places the organism in Eukaryota, Metazoa, Chordata, Mammalia, Primates, Hominidae. The record is from Ensembl.